This 465-nucleotide ribosomal RNA is filed under the name uncultured bacterium. Its description in RNAcentral is "partial 16S ribosomal RNA". It matches the Rfam family "Bacterial small subunit ribosomal RNA", at positions 28 to 507 of the family's 1533-position model. The record is from RNAcentral.
GACGAACGCUGGCGGCGUGCUUAACACAUGCAAGUCGUACGGUAAGGCCCUUUCGGGGGUACACGAGUGGCGAACGGGUGAGUAACACGUGAGUAACCUGCCCACAACUUUGGGAUAACGCUAGGAAACUGGUGCUAAUACUGGAUAUGUGCUCCUGCUGCAUGGUGGGGGUUGGGAAGCUCCGGCGGUUGUGGAUGGACUCGCGGCCUAUCAGCUUGUUGGUGGGGUAGUGGCCUACCAAGGCGGCGACGGGGAGCCGGCCUGAGAGGGUGACCGGCCACAUUGGGACUGAGAUACGGCCCAGACUCCUACGGGAGGCAGCAGUGGGGAAUAUUGCACAAUGGGCGCAAGCCUGAUGCAGCAACGCCGCGUGCGGGAUGACGGCCUUCGGGUUGUAAACCGCUUUCAGCAGGGACGAAGCUUUUUGUGACGGUACCUGCAGAAGAAGCACCGGCUAACUACGUG